UACGUAGGGUGCAAGCGUUGUCCGGAAUUAUUGGGCGUAAAGAGCUCGUAGGCGGUUUGUCACGUCGGAUGUGAAACCCUGAGGCUCAACCUCAGGCCUGCAUUCGAUACGGGCAGACUAGAAUUCGGCAGGGGAGACUGGAAUUCCUGGUGUAGCGGUGAAAUGCGUAGAUAUCGAGAGGAACACCUGCGGCGAAGGCGGGUUGCUGGGCUGACACUGACGCUGAAGUGCGAAAGCUAGGGGAGCGAACGGG
Molecule: ribosomal RNA, 253 nt
Filed under: uncultured bacterium
Lineage: Bacteria
Description: partial 16S ribosomal RNA
Rfam family: Bacterial small subunit ribosomal RNA
Source: RNAcentral